Molecule: ribosomal RNA, 384 nt
Filed under: uncultured bacterium
Lineage: Bacteria
Description: bacterial SSU rRNA
Rfam family: Bacterial small subunit ribosomal RNA
Source: RNAcentral
AUUGAACGCUGGCGGCAUGCCUUACACAUGCAAGUCGAACGGCAGCACGGGAGCAAUCCUGGUGGCGAGUGGCGAACGGGUGAGUAAUAUAUCGGAACGUGCCCAGUCGUGGGGAUAACGUAGCGAAAGCUACGCUAAUACCGCAUACGAUCUAUGGAUGAAAGCGGGGGAUCGCAAGACCUCGCGCGAUUGGAGCGGCCGAUAUCAGAUUAGGUAGUUGGUGAGGUAAAGGCUCACCAAGCCGACGAUCUGUAGCUGGUCUGAGAGGACGACCAGCCACACUGGGACUGAGACACGGCCCAGACUCCUACGGGAGCAGCAGUGGGGAAUUUUGGACAAUGGGCGCAAGCCUGAUCCAGCAAUGCCGCGUGCAGGAUGAAGGCC